GCGGGCUAUACAUGCAGUCGAGCGGACGGAUGGGAGCUUGCUCCCUGAAGUCAGCGGCGGACGGGUGAGUAACACGUGGGCAACCUGCCUGUAAGACUGGGAUAACUCCGGGAAACCGGGGCUAAUACCGGAUAACUCUUUUCCUCACAUGAGGAAAAGCUGAAAGAUGGUUUCGGCUAUCACUUACAGAUGGGCCCGCGGCGCAUUAGCUAGUUGGUGAGGUAACGGCUCACCAAGGCCACGAUGCGUAGCCGACCUGAGAGGGUGAUCGGCCACACUGGGACUGAGACACGGCCCAGACUCCUACGGGAGGCAGCAGUAGGGAAUCUUCCGCAAUGGACGAAAGUCUGACGGAGCAACGCCGCGUGAGUGAUGAAGGUUUUCGGAUCGUAAAACUCUGUUGUCAGGGAAGAACAAGUACCGGAGUAACUGCCGGUACCUUGACGGUACCUGACCAGAAAGCCACGGCUAACUACGUGCCAGCAGCCGCGGUAAUACGUAGGUGGCAAGCGUUGUCCGGAAUUAUUGGGCGUAAAGCGCGCGCAGGCGGUUCCUUAAGUCUGAUGUGAAAGCGCCCGGCUCAACCGGGGAGGGUCAUUGGAAACUGGGGAACUUGAGUGCAGAAAGGAAGAGUGCAAUUCCAGGUGUAGCGUUGAAAUGCUUACAAAUUUUGAGGAACACAGUGGUCUGAGGUCGACUCCUUAGUUUGUAUAUAACCGUUAGGCUCGAAAGCGUGUUGGAGUAAAGAGCGGAUUUUGUUCUACCCUGGUUUGCCCGCGUCCGGCACUACACUAUUUGGUUGUCUAAUUGUUUCUCUUGGGUCUGUUCCU
This 830-nucleotide ribosomal RNA is filed under the name Bacillus sp. PAH-40. RNAcentral's name for it is "bacterial SSU rRNA". It matches the Rfam family "Bacterial small subunit ribosomal RNA", at positions 42 to 839 of the family's 1533-position model. The record is from RNAcentral. Lineage: Bacteria; Bacillati; Bacillota; Bacilli; Caryophanales; Bacillaceae.